This 389-nucleotide ribosomal RNA is filed under the name uncultured bacterium. RNAcentral describes it as "bacterial SSU rRNA". It matches the Rfam family "Bacterial small subunit ribosomal RNA", at positions 109 to 494 of the family's 1533-position model. The record is from RNAcentral.
AGUAAUGUCUGGGAAACUGCCUGAUGGAGGGGGAUAACUACUGGAAACGGUAGCUAAUACCGCAUAACGUCGCAAGACCAAAGAGGGGGACCUUCGGGCCUCUUGCCAUCAGAUGUGCCCAGAUGGGAUUAGCUAGUAGGUGGGGUAACGGCUCACCUAGGCGACGAUCCCUAGCUGGUCUGAGAGGAUGACCAGCCACACUGGAACUGAGACACGGUCCAGACUCCUACGGGAGGCAGCAGUGGGGAAUAUUGCACAAUGGGCGCAAGCCUGAUGCAGCCAUGCCGCGUGUAUGAAGAAGGCCUUCGGGUUGUAAAGUACUUUCAGCGGGGAGGAAGGGAGUAAAGUUAAUACCUUUGCUCAUUGACGUUACCCGCAGAAGAGGCACC